RNAcentral lists this ribosomal RNA (436 nucleotides) under uncultured bacterium. RNAcentral's name for it is "bacterial SSU rRNA". It matches the Rfam family "Bacterial small subunit ribosomal RNA", at positions 958 to 1392 of the family's 1533-position model. The record is from RNAcentral.
AACGCGAAGAACCUUACCUGGCCUUGACAUCCUAGGAAGUCUGCAGAGAUGCGGAUGUGCCUUCGGGAACCUGGAGACAGGUGCUGCACGGCUGUCGUCAGCUCGUGUCGUGAGACGUUGGGUUAAGUCCCGCAACGAGCGCAACCCUUGUCCUUAGUUGCCAGCACGUAAUGGUGGGAACUCUAAGGAGACCGCCGGUGACAAACCGGAGGAAGGUGGGGAUGACGUCAAGUCAUCAUGGCCCUUAUGGCCAGGGCUACACACGUGCUACAAUGGUCGGUACAGAGGGCUGCCAAGCUGCGAAGCGGAGCCAAUCCCAUAAAGCCGAUCGUAGUCCGGAUCGGAGUCUGCAACUCGACUCCGUGAAGUCGGAAUCGCUAGUAAUCGCGAAUCAGCCAUGUCGCGGUGAAUACGUUCCCGGGUCUUGUACACACCG